GGAGCUGUGGCUCAGUGGUAGAGCACUUGCCCCACAAGUAUGAAGCACUGGGUUCAAUCCUAGCACCA
RNAcentral lists this transfer RNA (68 nucleotides) under Urocitellus parryii (Arctic ground squirrel). Its description in RNAcentral is "Spermophilus parryii (Arctic ground squirrel) tRNA". It matches the Rfam family "tRNA". Rfam says of the family: Transfer RNA (tRNA) molecules are approximately 80 nucleotides in length. Their secondary structure includes four short double-helical elements and three loops (D, anti-codon, and T loops). The record is from Rfam by way of RNAcentral. Lineage: Eukaryota; Metazoa; Chordata; Mammalia; Rodentia; Sciuridae. RNAcentral also lists the same sequence under 1 other name.